This 252-nucleotide ribosomal RNA is filed under the name uncultured bacterium. RNAcentral's name for it is "partial 16S ribosomal RNA". It matches the Rfam family "Bacterial small subunit ribosomal RNA", at positions 524 to 776 of the family's 1533-position model. The record is from RNAcentral.
UACGUAGGGUGCAAGCGUUAAUCGGAAUUACUGGGCGUAAAGCGUGCGCAGGCGGUUUGUAAGUCAGAUGUGAAAUCCCCGGGCUCAACCUGGGAACUGCAUCUGUGACUGCAUCGCUGGAGUGCGGCAGAGGGGGAUGGAAUUCCGCGUGUAGCAGUGAAAUGCGUAGAUAUGCGGAGGAACACCGAUGGCGAAGGCAAUCCCCUGGACCUGUACUGACGCUCAUGCACGAAAGCGUGGGGAGCAAACAGG